Molecule: ribosomal RNA, 478 nt
Filed under: uncultured bacterium
Lineage: Bacteria
Description: partial 16S ribosomal RNA
Rfam family: Bacterial small subunit ribosomal RNA
Source: RNAcentral
GACGAACGCUGGCGGCGUGCUUAACACAUGCAAGUCGAACGGUAAGGCCCUUCGGGGUACACGAGUGGCGAACGGGUGAGUAACACGUGGGUGAUCUGCCCUGCACUUCGGGAUAAGCCUGGGAAACUGGGUCUCAUACCGGAUAGGACCCUUGCCUGCAUGGGUGGUGGUGGAAAGCUUUUGCGGUGUGGGAUGGGCCCGCGGGCUAUCAGCUUGUUGGUGGGGUGAUGGCCUACCAAGGCGACGACGGGUAGCCGGCCUGAGAGGGUGACCGGCCACACUGGGACUGAGAUACGGCCCAGACUCCUACGGGAGGCAGCAGUGGGGAAUAUUGCACAAUGGGCGCAAGCCUGAUGCAGCGACGCCGCGUGAGGGAUGACGGCCUUCGGGUUGUAAACCUCUUUCAGCACCGACGAAGCGCAAGUGACGGUAGGUGCAGAAGAAGGACCGGCCAACUACGUGCCAGCCGCCGCGGUAA